AAAAUGCUACAAUAUCUGGAGUGGGUGUGAUCCCACGUCGAAUCUCGUCUAACUAGAACCGAACAAACAAACACGUUCCCCAUGCGGGCUGAUGAAUUCUAAAUCCUUGCACCCAAACAUCAUUCUUCAACGUAAAAUCAGGCACAGCGGUUGAAAUCUCGACAGACGAGUCCAGUCCCAGUCCCAGUCCCAGACAGGCAUUCUUCAAAUUUCGUAACAUAGUUUUCGUGCGUUGUUGAUCAUCGGCUUCUUCUG
This 255-nucleotide unclassified non-coding RNA is filed under the name Hevea brasiliensis (rubber tree). Lineage: Eukaryota; Viridiplantae; Streptophyta; Magnoliopsida; Malpighiales; Euphorbiaceae. The record is from RNAcentral.